GCAAGUCGAACGAUGAACCACUUCGGUGGGGAUUAGUGGCGAACGGGUGAGUAACACGUGGGCAAUCUGCCCUGCACUCUGGGACAAGCCCUGGAAACGGGGUCUAAUACCGGAUACUGAUCAUCUUGGGCAUCCUUGGUGAUCGAAAGCUCCGGCGGUGCAGGAUGAGCCCGCGGCCUAUCAGCUUGUUGGUGAGGUAAUGGCUCACCAAGGCGACGACGGGUAGCCGGCCUGAGAGGGCGACCGGCCACACUGGGACUGAGACACGGCCCAGACUCCUACGGGAGGCAGCAGUGGGGAAUAUUGCACAAUGGGCGAAAGCCUGAUGCAGCGACGCCGCGUGAGGGAUGACGGCCUUCGGGUUGUAAACCUCUUUCAGCAGGGAAGAAGCGAAAGUGACGGUACCUGCAGAAGAAGCGCCGGCUAACUACGUGCCAGCAGCCGCGGUAAUACGUAGGGCGCGAGCGUUGUCCGGAAUUAUUGGGCGUAAAGAGCUCGUAGGCGGCUUGUCGCGUCGGUUGUGAAAGCCCGGGGCUUAACCCCGGGUCUGCAGUCGAUACGGGCAGGCUAGAGUUCGGUAGGGGAGAUCGGAAUUCCUGGUGUAGCGGUGAAAUGCGCAGAUAUCAGGAGGAACACCGGUGGCGAAGGCGGAUCUCUGGGCCGAUACUGACGCUGAGGAGCGAAAGCGUGGGGAGCGAACAGGAUUAGAUACCCUGGUAGUCCACGCCGUAAACGGUGGGCACUAGGUGUGGGCGACAUUCCACGUCGUCCGUGCCGCAGCUAACGCAUUAAGUGCCCCGCCUGGGGAGUACGGCCGCAAGGCUAAAACUCAAAGGAAUUGAC
RNAcentral lists this ribosomal RNA (843 nucleotides) under Streptomyces sp. Its description in RNAcentral is "bacterial SSU rRNA". It matches the Rfam family "Bacterial small subunit ribosomal RNA", at positions 57 to 914 of the family's 1533-position model. Lineage: Bacteria; Bacillati; Actinomycetota; Actinomycetes; Kitasatosporales; Streptomycetaceae. The record is from RNAcentral.